GCUACGGUGAAUACGUUCCCGGGUCUUGUACACACCGCCCGUCACACCACGAGAGUUUGUAACACCCGAAGCCGGUGGAGUAACCUUUUAGGAGCUAGCCGUCGAAGGUGGGACAAAUGAUUGGGGUGAAGUCGUAACAAGGUAGCCGUAUCGGAAGGUGCGGCUGGAUCACCUCCUUUCUAAGGA
This 186-nucleotide ribosomal RNA is filed under the name Escherichia coli. Its description in RNAcentral is "partial 16S ribosomal RNA". It matches the Rfam family "Bacterial small subunit ribosomal RNA", at positions 1356 to 1533 of the family's 1533-position model. The record is from RNAcentral. Lineage: Bacteria; Pseudomonadati; Pseudomonadota; Gammaproteobacteria; Enterobacterales; Enterobacteriaceae.